RNAcentral lists this non-coding RNA (45 nucleotides) under Schistosoma mansoni. The record is from RNAcentral. Lineage: Eukaryota; Metazoa; Platyhelminthes; Trematoda; Strigeidida; Schistosomatidae.
AUCCAUCUGACGAGUCUGAAAUAUGACAAAACGCGCGUCCUGGAU